Molecule: ribosomal RNA, 2653 nt
Filed under: Staphylococcus aureus
Lineage: Bacteria; Bacillati; Bacillota; Bacilli; Caryophanales; Staphylococcaceae
Description: bacterial LSU rRNA
Rfam family: Bacterial large subunit ribosomal RNA
Source: RNAcentral
CCAAACCAACAAGCUUGCUUGUUGGGGUUGUAGGACACUCUAUACGGAGUUACAAAGGACGACAUUAGACGAAUCAUCUGGAAAGAUGAAUCAAAGAAGGUAAUAAUCCUGUAGUCGAAAAUGUUGUCUCUCUUGAGUGGAUCCUGAGUACGACGGAGCACGUGAAAUUCCGUCGGAAUCUGGGAGGACCAUCUCCUAAGGCUAAAUACUCUCUAGUGACCGAUAGUGAACCAGUACCGUGAGGGAAAGGUGAAAAGCACCCCGGAAGGGGAGUGAAAUAGAACCUGAAACCGUGUGCUUACAAGUAGUCAGAGCCCGUUAAUGGGUGAUGGCGUGCCUUUUGUAGAAUGAACCGGCGAGUUACGAUUUGAUGCAAGGUUAAGCAGUAAAUGUGGAGCCGUAGCGAAAGCGAGUCUGAAUAGGGCGUUUAGUAUUUGGUCGUAGACCCGAAACCAGGUGAUCUACCCUUGGUCAGGUUGAAGUUCAGGUAACACUGAAUGGAGGACCGAACCGACUUACGUUGAAAAGUGAGCGGAUGAACUGAGGGUAGCGGAGAAAUUCCAAUCGAACCUGGAGAUAGCUGGUUCUCUCCGAAAUAGCUUUAGGGCUAGCCUCAAGUGAUGAUUAUUGGAGGUAGAGCACUGUUUGGACGAGGGGCCCCUCUCGGGUUACCGAAUUCAGACAAACUCCGAAUGCCAAUUAAUUUAACUUGGGAGUCAGAACAUGGGUGAUAAGGUCCGUGUUCGAAAGGGAAACAGCCCAGACCACCAGCUAAGGUCCCAAAAUAUAUGUUAAGUGGAAAAGGAUGUGGCGUUGCCCAGACAACUAGGAUGUUGGCUUAGAAGCAGCCAUCAUUUAAAGAGUGCGUAAUAGCUCACUAGUCGAGUGACACUGCGCCGAAAAUGUACCGGGGCUAAACAUAUUACCGAAGCUGUGGAUUGUCCUUUGGACAAUGGUAGGAGAGCGUUCUAAGGGCGUUGAAGCAUGAUCGUAAGGACAUGUGGAGCGCUUAGAAGUGAGAAUGCCGGUGUGAGUAGCGAAAGACGGGUGAGAAUCCCGUCCACCGAUUGACUAAGGUUUCCAGAGGAAGGCUCGUCCGCUCUGGGUUAGUCGGGUCCUAAGCUGAGGCCGACAGGCGUAGGCGAUGGAUAACAGGUUGAUAUUCCUGUACCACCUAUAAUCGUUUUAAUCGAUGGGGGGACGCAGUAGGAUAGGCGAAGCGUGCGAUUGGAUUGCACGUCUAAGCAGUAAGGCUGAGUAUUAGGCAAAUCCGGUACUCGUUAAGGCUGAGCUGUGAUGGGGAGAAGACAUUGUGUCUUCGAGUCGUUGAUUUCACACUGCCGAGAAAAGCCUCUAGAUAGAAAAUAGGUGCCCGUACCGCAAACCGACACAGGUAGUCAAGAUGAGAAUUCUAAGGUGAGCGAGCGAACUCUCGUUAAGGAACUCGGCAAAAUGACCCCGUAACUUCGGGAGAAGGGGUGCUCUUUAGGGUUAACGCCCAGAAGAGCCGCAGUGAAUAGGCCCAAGCGACUGUUUAUCAAAAACACAGGUCUCUGCUAAACCGUAAGGUGAUGUAUAGGGGCUGACGCCUGCCCGGUGCUGGAAGGUUAAGAGGAGUGGUUAGCUUCUGCGAAGCUACGAAUCGAAGCCCCAGUAAACGGCGGCCGUAACUAUAACGGUCCUAAGGUAGCGAAAUUCCUUGUCGGGUAAGUUCCGACCCGCACGAAAGGCGUAACGAUUUGGGCACUGUCUCAACGAGAGACUCGGUGAAAUCAUAGUACCUGUGAAGAUGCAGGUUACCCGCGACAGGACGGGAAGACCCCGUGGAGCUUUACUGUAGCCUGAUAUUGAAAUUCGGCACAGCUUGUACAGGAUAGGUAGGAGCCUUUGAAACGUGAGCGCUAGCUUACGUGGAGGCGCUGGUGGGAUACUACCCUAGCUGUGUUGGCUUUCUAACCCGCACCACUUAUCGUGGUGGGAGACAGUGUCAGGCGGGCAGUUUGACUGGGGCGGUCGCCUCCUAAAAGGUAACGGAGGCGCUCAAAGGUUCCCUCAGAAUGGUUGGAAAUCAUUCAUAGAGUGUAAAGGCAUAAGGGAGCUUGACUGCGAGACCUACAAGUCGAGCAGGGUCGAAAGACGGACUUAGUGAUCCGGUGGUUCCGCAUGGAAGGGCCAUCGCUCAACGGAUAAAAGCUACCCCGGGGAUAACAGGCUUAUCUCCCCCAAGAGUUCACAUCGACGGGGAGGUUUGGCACCUCGAUGUCGGCUCAUCGCAUCCUGGGGCUGUAGUCGGUCCCAAGGGUUGGGCUGUUCGCCCAUUAAAGCGGUACGCGAGCUGGGUUCAGAACGUCGUGAGACAGUUCGGUCCCUAUCCGUCGUGGGCGUAGGAAAUUUGAGAGGAGCUGUCCUUAGUACGAGAGGACCGGGAUGGACAUACCUCUGGUGUACCAGUUGUCGUGCCAACGGCAUAGCUGGGUAGCUAUGUGUGGACGGGAUAAGUGCUGAAAGCAUCUAAGCAUGAAGCCCCCCUCAAGAUGAGAUUUCCCAACUUCGGUUAUAAGAUCCCUCAAAGAUGAUGAGGUUAAUAGGUUCGAGGUGGAAGCAUGGUGACAUGUGGAGCUGACGAAUACUAAUCGAUCGAAGACUUAAUCAA